This 167-nucleotide ribosomal RNA is filed under the name uncultured bacterium. RNAcentral describes it as "partial 16S ribosomal RNA". It matches the Rfam family "Bacterial small subunit ribosomal RNA", at positions 1334 to 1500 of the family's 1533-position model. The record is from RNAcentral.
GCUAGUAAUCGCGGAUCAGAAUGCCGCGGUGAAUACGUUCCCGGGUCUUGUACACACCGCCCGUCACACCAUGGGAGUCGGAAAUGCCCGAAGUCUGUGACCCAACCGCGAGGAGGGAGCAGCCGAAGGCAGGUCGGAUGACUGGGGUGAAGUCGUAACAAGGUACC